GAGUUUGAUCGUGGCUCAGGAUGAACGCUGGCGGCGUGCCUAAUACAUGCAAGUCGAGCGAACAGACGAGGAGCUUGCUCCUCUGACGUUAGCGGCGGACGGGUGAGUAACACGUGGAUAACCUACCUAUAAGACUGGGAUAACUUCGGGAAACCGGAGCUAAUACCGAAUAAUAUAUUGAACCGCAUGGUUCAAUAGUGAAAAACGGUUUUGCUGUCACUUAUAGAUGGAUCCGCGCCGCAUUAGCUAGUUGGUAGGGUAACGGCUUACCAAGGCGACGAUGCGUAGCCGACCUGAGAGGGUGAUCGGCCACACUGGAACUGAGACACGGUCCAGACUCCUACGGGAGGCAGCAGUAGGGAAUCUUCCGCAAUGGGCGAAAGCCUGACGGAGCAACGCCGCGUGAGUGAUGAAGGUCUUCGGAUCGUAAAACUCUGUUAUUAGGAAGAACAAAUGUGUAAGUAACUAUGCACGUCUUGACGGUACCUAAUCAGAAGCCACGGCUAACUACGUGCCA
This 517-nucleotide ribosomal RNA is filed under the name uncultured microorganism. Its description in RNAcentral is "bacterial SSU rRNA". It matches the Rfam family "Bacterial small subunit ribosomal RNA", at positions 9 to 510 of the family's 1533-position model. The record is from RNAcentral.